UCCUGCAGCAAUAUAGUAAAAUACUAAAAUUGAAAUGAUACAAAGAAGAUUAUCAUGGCCCCUUUUACAAGGAUGACAUGCAAAUUUGCGAAGCAAUCAAUAAAUUA
This is a small nuclear RNA of Suncus etruscus (white-toothed pygmy shrew), 107 nucleotides long. NCBI's taxonomy places the organism in Eukaryota, Metazoa, Chordata, Mammalia, Eulipotyphla, Soricidae. The record is from RefSeq and is a predicted model, not a curated record.